GGUUGCCUAUGGUAUCUGAUGUCCAGAUCUACAUCAAGUAACUGGACGUUUCGUUUUUACGGGCACAUAACAAGUUGAACAGAUCUUGCGACACAGAUUGCUCCUUCAUUUCAAUGAGCAUUCUGUUACUAUAAAACUGUUUACAUUU
Amaranthus tricolor (Joseph's coat) is the source of this 148-nucleotide small nucleolar RNA. RefSeq annotates it as small nucleolar RNA F1/F2/snoR5a. The record is from RefSeq and is a predicted model, not a curated record. Lineage: Eukaryota; Viridiplantae; Streptophyta; Magnoliopsida; Caryophyllales; Amaranthaceae. The transcript has a single exon.